CUGACCGUGCAAAGGUAGCGUAAUCACUUGUCUCUUAAAUGGGGACCUGUAUGAAUGGCCAAACGAGGGCUUAACUGUCUCCUUUUUCAAGUCAGUGAAAUUGAUCUUCCCGUGCAGAAGCGGGGAUACUUCCAUAAGACGAGAAGACCCUAUGGAGCUUUAGACACCAAGGCAUACCAUGUUAAAGCCCCCAAAUUAAAGGACUAAACUAAAUGAGCCCAUGCCUAUAUGUCUUAGGUUGGGGCGACCCCGAGGAAAUAAAAAACCCCCGAGUGGACUGGGAACAUACUCCUAAAACCAAGAGCUACAGCUCUAAUUAACAGACAUUUCUGACCAAAAAAGAUCCGGUGAAUUCCGAUCAACGGAACAAGUUACCCUAGGGAUAACAGCGCAAUCCCCUUUUAGAGUUCAUAUCGACAAGGGGGUUUACGACCUCGAUGUUGGAUCAGGACAUCCUAGUGGUGCAGCAGCUAUUAAGGGUUCGUUUGUUCAACGAUUAAAGUCCUACGUGAUCUGAGUUCAGACCGGAG
RNAcentral lists this ribosomal RNA (530 nucleotides) under Rexea prometheoides (royal escolar). RNAcentral's name for it is "partial 16S ribosomal RNA". It matches the Rfam family "Bacterial large subunit ribosomal RNA", at positions 1942 to 2621 of the family's 2925-position model. The record is from RNAcentral. Lineage: Eukaryota; Metazoa; Chordata; Actinopteri; Scombriformes; Gempylidae.